Drosophila melanogaster (fruit fly) is the source of this 445-nucleotide non-coding RNA. The record is from Ensembl. Lineage: Eukaryota; Metazoa; Arthropoda; Insecta; Diptera; Drosophilidae.
AACAAAUUUUGUAAUGCUGUUCAGUAUGAAAAUCAUUGCCGUUCGGAAAGCAACUAAGUAAAUUAUCGUAAAAUAAAAUUUUAUUUUCGAUGGCCCAGUUUAUUAGUGAAUUGUGUGUAAUCAAAAGCUGAUGUCCCCAAUUAGAUGUUACCCCUCAGGAUAAACUUGAAAUCCCAAUUGGCAUGACUGGAGUUUUGAUGGCCUCAAAUCAUGGCGUCCAUGCUUUUAUAAUUAUAUUAUAUAUAAUAGCACUGCUGGCUCAUUGGUACAUUUCAUAAGUACCUUAUCAAAUGUUCCAAUGGUCGGGCAGAGCUAUUAUUUGUCCAUGUUUUGGACUAGAAGUAAUACUAAGAAGACAAAAUCUGCCAGUUACCAUUCUCACUAUGUAACAAUUGGAACAAAAAUGUUAAAUGUUAAACAAGAAUGUUAAACAAGCCGAUUACUU